This 238-nucleotide ribosomal RNA is filed under the name uncultured bacterium. RNAcentral's name for it is "partial 16S ribosomal RNA". It matches the Rfam family "Bacterial small subunit ribosomal RNA", at positions 100 to 334 of the family's 1533-position model. The record is from RNAcentral.
CCGGCACGGGUGAGUAACACGUAUCCAACCUGCCGUCUACUCUUGGACAGCCUUCUGAAAGGAAGAUUAAUACAAGAUGGCAUCAUGAGUUCACAUGUUCACAUGAGUUAAAGGUAUUCCGGUAGACGAUGGGGAUGCGUUCCAUUAGAUAGUAGGCGGGGUAACGGCCCACCUAGUCUUCGAUGGAUAGGGGUUCUGAGAGGAAGGUCCCCCACAUUGGAACUGAGACACGGUCCAA